UACGUAGGGUGCAAGCGUUGUCCGGAAUUACUGGGCGUAAAGGGCGUGUAGGCGGCUCUGUUAGUCAGGCGUGAAAGCCCUGGGCUCAACCUGGGGACUGCGCUUGAUACGGCGGGGCUUGAGGGCAGGAGAGGCUCGCGGAAUUCCCAGUGUAGAGGUGAAAUUCGUAGAUAUUGGGAAGAACACCGGUGGCGAAGGCGGCGAGCUGGCCUGUUACUGACGCUGAGGCGCGACAGCGAGGGGAGCAAACAGG
This 253-nucleotide ribosomal RNA is filed under the name uncultured bacterium. Its description in RNAcentral is "partial 16S ribosomal RNA". It matches the Rfam family "Bacterial small subunit ribosomal RNA", at positions 524 to 776 of the family's 1533-position model. The record is from RNAcentral.